AACGAACGCUGGCGGCAUGCCUAACACAUGCAAGUCGAACGAGACCUUCGGGUCUAGUGGCGCACGGGUGCGUAACGCGUGGGAAUCUGCCCUUGGGUUCGGAAUAACAGUUAGAAAUGACUGCUAAUACCGGAUGAUGUCUUCGGACCAAAGAUUUAUCGCCCAGGGAUGAGCCCGCGUAGGAUUAGCUAGUUGGUGGGGUAAAGGCCUACCAAGGCGACGAUCCUUAGCUGGUCUGAGAGGAUGAUCAGCCACACUGGGACUGAGACACGGCCCAGACUCCUACGGGAGGCAGCAGUGGGGAAUAUUGGACAAUGGGCCGAAAGCCUGAUCCAGCAAUAGCCGCGUGAGUGAUGAAGGCCUUAGGUGUAAGCUCUUUACCCGGAUGAUAAUG
Molecule: ribosomal RNA, 394 nt
Filed under: uncultured bacterium
Lineage: Bacteria
Description: bacterial SSU rRNA
Rfam family: Bacterial small subunit ribosomal RNA
Source: RNAcentral